AUCCUUGCCUGAAAAAGUCACUAACCUUUUUAUGCGAUUGUGUACAUGGGUGAUACACCCCCGGUUACUCAGUUAGUCACUUGUUCAAAUGGCUACUAGCUCUGUUCAUAGUCUAGACCAUCGAAACUUAUUUUUGCCUGAAAAAGUCACUAACCUUUUUACGCGAUUGUGUACAUGGGUGAUACACCCCCGGUUACUCAGUCAGUCACUUCUCCAAGUGGCUAUUAGGCUUAGUUCAUAGUCUUAGACCAUUGGAACAGGUUUAUGAUUUGUGCUUUGUGCUGGUUUUUCAUGAUAGUUUGGGCAAAUCAGCUCAUAGGGAGUUACACUAACUUUUUGUUUGCAUGUAUUUGUAUUUUUAUUUCCCUUGACCAUAGCAAAUUUAAGGAUUCAAUUCAAGAGAAGAACUCCCUAAGUGAAGGUAACAUACUGUAAAUGAUUCAAUUUAGGCUUAAAGGGGUGGCAAAUCAAUGAGGUCAUGAGACAAGGAAACUCUUUUAACCUUGUUAUCUAUGUUGAGUAGAGCAAAAGCUAGAAAAAAUUUUGGUGUGUGCAAAAAAGGGAAAGAACAAUGCAAAAAGAAACAGAAAGAAACAAAUAGAAAUCAAAAGAUGGUGUAAUCAGUGAAUAAAUACUCUCCAGUACCCCCUCACCUAUCCCAAAUAUUGUCCUCAAUGUUUGAAUAUAUAUAUAGAGAAAUUAAGGAGAAAAGGGAAAGGGACUUCCUGGCCUGUGGGUGAUUUGGCCAGUGAUUUGGGCAAAUCACUAGCCCAAUCACUGUCUGUCGUGGUGUUGGGGCAGAAAAUGGUCUACCAGCAGGUC
This 822-nucleotide long non-coding RNA is filed under the name Manihot esculenta (cassava). Its description in RNAcentral is "long non-coding RNA (MESC_LNC012372)". Lineage: Eukaryota; Viridiplantae; Streptophyta; Magnoliopsida; Malpighiales; Euphorbiaceae. The record is from RNAcentral.